Molecule: ribosomal RNA, 975 nt
Filed under: Triticum aestivum (bread wheat)
Lineage: Eukaryota; Viridiplantae; Streptophyta; Magnoliopsida; Poales; Poaceae
Description: partial small subunit ribosomal RNA
Source: RNAcentral
AUGGGGCUUCUUGUACGGGGGCGGGCCCUGGUCCUUGGGGAUGCCAAGCUCCGGCCACCACUCCUCGUCGCCGGACGGCCACCAUGGAGGAGAGAUGCCCUUCUCGAGCGGGAACCUUCGCUGCGGUGGAUCGCAGUGCUGCAUGAGCGCCGAGAGCAGCGAGCCCAGCGUGGUGUCCUGCAGCUCCUGCAGCGAGUGCGGGCUGGCGGUGCCGGAAGCCAGCUCGCUCUCGGAGCCCGGCACGGCGUUGUCGGCCUGGUACUUGGCGAUGGCGGCCGGGCCGUUCCGGUCGAAGCGGACCUUCUCCUUCCACCAGGCACGGAGGUUGUCAGAGGCGCCGCUCACGGGCUUGCCCUUCUCCGGAAUGAUGCCGUAGACGAACCCCUGGGCGCGGCACACCUCCAUCAUCUUGAGCAUGUACUUGAGGAUGCCGUCCUGCGCGCGCGACAUCUUCUUGCGGCGCGCCUGCUCCUGCGACUGCCGCGGCUUCAGUCCGUCGCCAGCCCCGCCGCCGCCGGCGGCCUGCUCCUUGCCGCGGCUCUGCUGCAGCUCCUUGAGGCGCUUGAGCUUCAUGCGGUCGCGCCACAUGCGGCGCUCCAGCUCCUCGAUGUCAUCCACAUCGUCGUCGCUGUCGUCCUCACCGGCGUCCGGGAAGUUGUUCGUGGGGGGGUCCACGAGGUCGCCCUCGCCCAUGACGCACUGGUCGCCGGAGGAUGUCUGCGGCAUAAGGGAGCCGAAGCCGAGGUUCUUGUCGGCGCCGUUCUGCUGGAGCAGAUCCACGAAGUUGUGCACGCCGGAGAACGCCAUGCCCUGAUCCAUCAGCAGCCCACCUCCCAUCAUGGUCACUCAAGCAGCUCUUUUUCUCCACACAAGAAAUUCCACUUCCUUCCACUACUACUUGUAGCUGUGGUGGUGUUCACCUGCACAGAAGCAAGCAAAGAGGCCAGGUUAAUUACAAGGCUUAUUGCUUGCUGA